AUACCAUCAUGACAAUCAUAAUGACAAUCAGCAUUACCAGUCCAUACAUCAACAAAGCUUUCAGACAGCCAGUAAUUUCCAAUUUUGUAGAUUUAUAACCAUCUGUCAGUCCAUUUUCAAAUUCCCAAGUUUGUAACCAUUCUGUCAGUCCAUCAGUCCCUGUUCCAG
Molecule: long non-coding RNA, 168 nt
Organism: Tyto alba (common barn owl)
Lineage: Eukaryota; Metazoa; Chordata; Aves; Strigiformes; Tytonidae
Exons: 3
Source: RefSeq, a predicted model, not a curated record